UACGUAGGGUGCGAGCGUUAAUCGGAAUUACUGGGCGUAAAGCGCGCGUAGGCGGCUACCUAAGUCGGAUGUGAAAGCCCCUGGCUUAACUGGGGAAGUGCACCCGAAACUGAGUAGCUAGAGUGCGAAAGAGGGUCGCGGAAUUCCCGGUGUAGAGGUGAAAUUCGUAGAUAUCGGGAGGAACACCGGUGGCGAAGGCGGCGACCUGGGUCGACACUGACGCUGAGGCGCGAAAGCGUGGGGAGCAAACAGG
RNAcentral lists this ribosomal RNA (253 nucleotides) under uncultured bacterium. Its description in RNAcentral is "partial 16S ribosomal RNA". It matches the Rfam family "Bacterial small subunit ribosomal RNA", at positions 524 to 776 of the family's 1533-position model. The record is from RNAcentral.